UACGUAGGAGGCGAGCGUUGUCCGGAUUUAUUGGGCGUAAAGAGCUCGUAGGCGGUUCGGUAAGUCGGGUGUGAAACCUCCAGGCUCAACCUGGAGACGCCACCCGAUACUGCUGUGACUAGAGUCCGGUAGGGGAGCGUGGAAUUCCUGGUGUAGCGGUGAAAUGCGCAGAUAUCAGGAGGAACACCAGCGGCGAAAGCGGCUCACUGGACCACAACUGACGCUGAGGCGCGAAAGCUAGGGGAGCAAACAGG
RNAcentral lists this ribosomal RNA (254 nucleotides) under uncultured bacterium. RNAcentral's name for it is "partial 16S ribosomal RNA". It matches the Rfam family "Bacterial small subunit ribosomal RNA", at positions 524 to 776 of the family's 1533-position model. The record is from RNAcentral.